CUGUCACCUGAUUUCUUUAUUUCUAAAGGUCUUCGAUCCUAUCUUCCCUCUUGUUUGAAAUAACUAGAGAAUAUUGUACUGAAACAUGGAAUAAUCUUCAUACUUUAAUAUUGGCUUUUCAAAACUAGAGUUGAAAGGAUUUUUCAAUUAAUAUAGAAGUUUUUCAGAAUAUCCUGAAACUCUGAAUAAUCUGUACAUGAAUUAGCAAAUCGUCUCAACAAUAUCUGGUUAAACAGCUUCUCUGCCUCCUCUAAUUCCUGACCAAGUACAAAUAUAGACAAAUAGCAGAUUUAGGAAAUCUAAGCUGUUCAGGCCAGGACAACACUCCCUAAGGCGUGAUGUAAUGUUGUCCCAACGGAAGCGUGGACAGCAUCCACUCUAACGUUAGCAUCCCCGGCAAUGGGACAGAAAAAGAGAUUUACAGAUUGAGACAGAAUAUAAGCAGACAAACACAUGACAAGAAGACACAGAAGGUGGAGAACAGGACCGUUUCCUUCAGUUUUUCUCCCACAGCCUGGUUCCUUAACAUUCAUUAACUGCAUCAACGUGAAGCGGGGAACCAGAGUGCAGGAUAUUUUCACAUAUGCCAAGAUUUUGACCCCUCAUCCUGAUCAUAUCUGUGGGUAUCUACAAAAUUUGUAAAGGAGAAACAGAUAAUUUUAAGGAUCCAUUUGAAGGUUCCACCAGUGACCCAGGACCUAUGGCACAAGCUCUGUACUCAGCUCUUUUUUCCUAUUCUGGAUGGGAUACACUGAAUCUUAUCACUGAGGAAAUGAAGAAUCCUGAAAGACAUUUGGUAAUAAGGUCUUCAACUAUGCUCAGUGGCUAAUUCCUCUUGCAGUCGCCAUGUCUGGUUUCAGUGGAUUAAAUUCAUCAAUCAUUGCAGCUUCCAGGGAUUGACAACGUUGCUUUAUCUCCUGGUGGAAGAUGUCUUUCAACUCAUAAACUACUACUCAUUCAGCUAUUAGCUAUUUGUUGGUCUACCAGUCUAUCUAUUGUGCCGCCUAGCUCUAAUUGAGCACAUGAUUCAUUUUAUUUCUUGUAGUAUAUUUCAUUCUUUGUUCCCCAUAGUGGUUCAUUUUCCCCCCAAAAAAAGGAAAGCUUAAUUUUAAUUAAAGGAUUUAUUUGGGGAAAUAAAGUACCAGUAGUUUUCUAAAAAGAAAUGAACCAAUAAAGGGUUCAUCAUCAGAGAUAAGGAAAGAAUUAAUAAAAGAACAUGAAGGAAUAUGCUAGAAUUCAAAAGGGGAUGGAAGGAAAAAUACGGGAAGAAGAAUAGAGGAAUAAGAUCGUGAAAUUGAAGAAGAAAAGAAGCCUAUAUUUCCUUCAAGAUGCCUUACGUACCAGAUAAUAUGGGCACAAAUACCUACAUGCCAUAUACUGUAGUUUCUUCAUUUCCUUAAACACUCCUAAUUAUUGAAUAAGAACCACCAAAAUAAAAAUAAAUUUCUAGGGAGAGAUAAAUGAUUUUGCUAGUUUCUUGCUCAGAUAUUCAGUUCAGUCUACUGCUUUCAUGCAUCAGUAAUGAGACUGAAAAAUGGGCAGUGUUUCGUAAUGAAAGCAGUGCUAGACUGAAAGUCAAGAGUCCUGCCUCUGACGCUCACCAGCCAUGUGACCACAUGCUAGUCACUUGCCUCAGGCACCUCUCUAACAGCAUAGCCUGUAAUCUCCCAGUUAUUUCUUCAUUCUGAGGAAUGGAUUCAUUUGUUUCCUCAUUAAUGACAUCACUUGUGUGGUAAGAUAGGAACACAGAUGGUCAUUUUUAGGGUGUCAUUUCUAAAGUUUAUCAGGAAAAAUAUACCUUUAAGUCUAAACUUCUUUGAGCAUACAGAACCCCUUUAGUAAUAACUAUGCAAAUUUGUACCCAGCUUUUGUUAAUAGAUUUAACAAUAACACUAGACCAUCCCAGUCUAUUUUUUUCUCAGAUUUCAGGGCAGGGGGAAUAUAAUAAAUGUGGCAAUAUAUUGACAAUCAAAUGAUUUAUAUUUCUUAAUUAUAAUGCACAUGUUGUCAUUCACAUUUUUUCUUAUCACCCAGUUAUCCCUACAUUUAAGUGCAGAUUAAAAAUUAAGUUAGAAAUGUCAGUGUUGACAAGGAUAAUUCAGGUCUAUACAUAGCCCUUGACUGAUGCACUUUUCAGUCAGUUCUUUUCAAGUUAUCUUCAGUGGCACCAUUGAUUAAUUUAACAGUUAUAAUCUAAAGUGGACAUGAGAGCUGCCCCAGUUUUAGGUCAAAACAUUUAUGGAUCCAUUGGGUUCUUCCCCUCAUUUAUACAACCAAUGUUAUAACCUACAUAGCAUUCAUUGGGACAUGAGUGAGAUCCUGUGGGGAGAAGAGAGGUAAGUAGCAGUUGGUAAUCUCCCUAUGCCUAUAAGCCCUUGAGAAACAUAGCAAUUUAAGGUUCUUUUUUCUCCUCUACUUAGUUUCUUUCAAUUUUUAUUUCCUUUUAAUACAAGCUCAGCCUGUUCUUUCCAGUGGUUUAUUGCCUGUGUACUCUCUUCCUGGUGAUUAUACCUCUCUACAGUGACACUAUUAAUUCUUUCACUGGAACUGGAAUCAGUUUGUCUGGAAUUCCUGCAUAUUUCUUGGGAGUACAUUUAUCAGCUAAGAAUUGACCUCCAUGUCUCCAAAGGCUCUAUGGUAAGAAAUAUGAGCUCAAAUUUCCUCUCAUCUCAUGAUUUGGUCUUUAAAAAUCCCAUUCUGAAAUAGCUAUUGGUAAAUGGAAAAUUCAUGCCUGGAUUAUUGCAAUAGCUUUCUGGUUGGUCUGCUUGCCUCGACUUUAUCCUGACUCAAGUAUAUUCUCCACUCUUCUGUCAAAUUGAUCUUCCCAAACUUCAGGACUGACCAUGUCUUAUUCCCACUCAAUAAAUUCCAGUGGCUCAACUAGAUAAAAUAUUAAAUCUUCUGUUUGGAAUUCAGAGUCAUCCAUAACCUGACCCCCUUCUACCUUUCCAGUCUUGUUAUAUCUCCCUUCUCCUACAUACUCUGCAAUCCACUGACACUGAGCAGUUCCUUGCACAAGACACACCAUCUCCUGACUCGGCUUUUUACUGGUUGUCUGCCACACAUAGAAUGCUCUCUCUCCUCAUCUUUGUCUCUUGACCUCCCUGGCUUCCUUUGGG
This is a long non-coding RNA of Phascolarctos cinereus (koala), 3119 nucleotides long. RefSeq lists it as uncharacterized. The record is from RefSeq and is a predicted model, not a curated record. Lineage: Eukaryota; Metazoa; Chordata; Mammalia; Diprotodontia; Phascolarctidae.